This 842-nucleotide ribosomal RNA is filed under the name uncultured archaeon. Its description in RNAcentral is "bacterial SSU rRNA". It matches the Rfam family "Archaeal small subunit ribosomal RNA", at positions 63 to 910 of the family's 1478-position model. The record is from RNAcentral.
UGUAGCAAUACAAGGCAGACGGCUCAGUAACGCGUAGUCAACCUACCCUAUGGACGGGGAUAACCUCGGGAAACUGAGAAUAAUACCCGAUAGAACAUUAUACCUGGAAUGGUUUAUGUUUCAAAUAAUUUAUUGCCGUAGGAUGGGACUGCGGCCUAUCAGUUUGUUGGUGAGGUAAUGGCCCACCAAGACUAUUACAGGUACGGGCUCUGAGAGGAGUAGCCCGGAGAUGGGUACUGAGACACGGACCCAGGCCCUAUGGGGCGCAGCAGGCGAGAAAACUUUGCAAUGUGCGAAAGCACGACAAGGUUAAUCCGAGUGGUUUCUGCUAAAGGAACCUUUUGUUAGUCAUAGAACCACUAAUGAAUAAGGGGUGGGCAAGUUCUGGUGUCAGCCGCCGCGGUAAAACCAGCACCUCAAGUGGUCAGGAUGAUUAUUGGGCCUAAAGCAUCCGUAGCCUGCUUUGUUAGUUUUCGGUUAAAUCCAUACGCUCAACGUAUGGGCUGCCGGGAAUACUGCAAAGCUAGGGAGUGGGAGAGGUAGACGGUACUCGGUAGGAAGGGGUAAAAUCCUUUGAUCUAUUGAUGACCACCUGUGGCGAAGGCGGUCUACCAGAACACGUCCGACGGUGAGGGAUGAAAGCUGGGGGAGCAAACCGGAUUAGAUACCCGGGUAGUCCCAGCUGUAAACUAUGCAAACUCGGUGAUGCAUUGGCUUGAUGCCAAUGCAGUGCCGCAGGGAAGCCGUUAAGUUUGCCGCCUGGGAAGUACGUACGCAAGUAUGAAACUUAAAGGAAUUGGCGGGGGAGCACCACAAGGGGUGAAGCCUGCGGUUCAAUUGGA